AGUCGAACGGCAGCGCGGGGCAACCUGGCGGCGAGUGGCGAACGGGUGAGUAAUAUAUCGGAACAUACCCUAGAGUGGGGGAUAACGUAGCGAAAGUUACGCUAAUACCGCAUACGCACUAAGGUGGAAAGUGGGGGAUCGCAAGACCUCAUGCUCAUGGAGUGGCCGAUAUCUGAUUAGCUAGUUGGUGAGGUAAAGGCUCACCAAGGCGACGAUCAGUAGCUGGUCUGAGAGGACGACCAGCCACACUGGAACUGAGACACGGUCCAGACUCCUACGGGAGGCAGCAGUGGGGAAUUUUGGACAAUGGGGGCAACCCUGAUCCAGCAAUGCCGCGUGAGUGAAGAAGGCCUUCGGGUUGUAAAGCUCUUUUGUCAGGGAAGAAACGGUGGUCUCUAAUAUAGACUGCUAAUGACGGUACCUGAAGAAUAAGCACCGGCUAACUACGUGCCAGCAGCCGCGGUAAUACGUAGGGUGCAAGCGUUAAUCGGAAUUACUGGGCGCAAAGCGUGCGCAGGCGGUUAUAUAAGUCAGAUGUGAAAUCCCCGGGCUCAACCUGGGAACUGCAUUUGAGACUGUAUGGCUAGAGUGUGUCAGAGGGGGGUAGAAUUCCACGUGUAGCAGUGAAAUGCGUAGAUAUGUGGAGGAAUACCGAUGGCGAAGGCAGCCCCCUGGGAUAACACUGACGCUCAUGCACGAAAGCGUGGGGAGCAAACAGGAUUAGAUACCCUGGUAGUCCACGCCCUAAACGAUGUCUACUAGUUGUCGGGUCUUAAUUGACUUGGUAACGCAGCUAACGCGUGAAGUAGA
RNAcentral lists this ribosomal RNA (810 nucleotides) under uncultured bacterium. RNAcentral's name for it is "bacterial SSU rRNA". It matches the Rfam family "Bacterial small subunit ribosomal RNA", at positions 60 to 868 of the family's 1533-position model. The record is from RNAcentral.